AGUGAACGCUGGCGGUAGACCUAACACAUGCAAGUCGAACGGCAGCACAGUAAGAGCUUGCUCUUACGGGUGGCGAGUGGCGGACGGGUGAGGAAUACAUCGGAAUCUACUUUUUCGUGGGGGAUAACGUAGGGAAACUUACGCUAAUACCGCAUACGACCUACGGGUGAAAGCAGGGGAUCUUCGGACCUUGCGCGAUUGAAUGAGCCGAUGUCGGAUUAGCUAGUUGGCGGGGUAAAGGCCCACCAAGGCGACGAUCCGUAGCUGGUCUGAGAGGAUGAUCAGCCACACUGGAACUGAGACACGGUCCAGACUCCUACGGGAGGCAGCAGUGGGGAAUAUUGGACAAUGGGCGCAAGCCUGAUCCAGCCAUACCGCGUGGGUGAAGAAGGCCUUCGGGUUGUAAAGCCCUUUUGUUGGGAAAGAAAAGCAGCAGGUUAAUACCCCGCUGUUCUGACGGUACCCAAAGAGUAAGCACCGGCUAACUUCGUG
Molecule: ribosomal RNA, 492 nt
Filed under: uncultured bacterium
Lineage: Bacteria
Description: partial 16S ribosomal RNA
Rfam family: Bacterial small subunit ribosomal RNA
Source: RNAcentral